CGCAUAGAUACCACACAGUGCAUUCCACUAAUAAAAUAAAAUAAAAUAAAAUUAUAGCGAUCUCUCCUCGUAAGUGUCUCCCUACAGCUUUUCCACUUUGUUGUUUUGUUUAUAGUUGACCAUAUGUCUAGGUCAUGGCAACGGGUAAAAAGCAAGUAGCAACUAGUUAGAACUUUACUAAAUUAAUAAUUUUGAAUUUUAUCAUGGAUUCUCUUACGAUGAAAAAAGUAAUAUUGUUGCAUAUAAAGAUGAAAUAAAGUAAUCAAGACUACUCAACUCGAUUCCUUUUUGUUAGGUCAAUGCCUAAUUUGGCCAGCUUUUGAUGUAAGUUAAAUGAAUCAUUAUCAUACGGUUACGGUAUUCGCCAAAAUAUCGAUCUGGAUCCUUUAUAUCUAGUUUACUUUAAUCUCUUAUAUUUUUUGUAAAAAACUUAUAUACAUUUCCUCAUAUAAAUUCAGUCUCUAUGUCUUGUCUCCGUGAAUUAAAAUCAAUUAGUUGGAAUAAUACACUAUAAUAUAUAAAGG
Molecule: long non-coding RNA, 524 nt
Filed under: Medicago truncatula (barrel medic)
Lineage: Eukaryota; Viridiplantae; Streptophyta; Magnoliopsida; Fabales; Fabaceae
Description: lncRNA gene27503
Source: RNAcentral